CACGGGGGGAGCAAGCGUUGUUCGGAAUCACUGGGCGUAAAGGGCGUGUAGGCGGUCAGGUAAGUGAGAUGUGAAAUGCCCCGGCUCACCCGGGGACCGGCAUCUCAUACUGCUUGGCUUGAGUACGGGAGAGGAUGUGGGAAUUCCUGGUGUAGCGGUGAAAUGCGUAGAUAUCAGGAGGAACACCGGUGGCGAAGGCGCACAUCUGGCCCGAUACUGACGCUGAGGAGCGAAAGCCAGGGGAGCAAACGGG
Molecule: ribosomal RNA, 253 nt
Filed under: uncultured bacterium
Lineage: Bacteria
Description: partial 16S ribosomal RNA
Rfam family: Bacterial small subunit ribosomal RNA
Source: RNAcentral